AUUGGCUCCUUUCACAGAGCAUAAUGUCCUUGGAAUCCAUCUAAAUCAUUGUAUAUAUCAAUAACCCACUUACUUUUAACUGGUGAGUGUCAUCUCAUUUGGAUAUAACGCAAUUAACUACUUCAUUUACUUGUCAAAGGACACAUGCAAUUACAUACCACUCUUGAUGGUCAGGGACUGAGAAAGAAUAUGAUUGAAAAAUUGGUGACAAGGAAAUCCGGAGAAGAGGUUUGUAGAUGGACCUCUCUGAGUGAGCAAAUAAUGUGAAGAUAUUUACAUCCUAUGUCAUGCUCACCAAAGUAUGACCUCAGCACAGGAAGAUUUUAAUACUCAAAUUGAUAGGAUAGGAUAACCUGUUCUGUGGAUGCCAGUCAACUUCUUUUUUCGACCACCCCUGUCUUUGCCCAAUGGACUCCUGAGCAAAGUGGCCAUGGUGGCAGGGAUAGAAAUCAUGGGAUGUGCUCAGAAACAUGGAUUUUUACUCACCAAGGCUGACCUGGCUAUGGCCACUACUGAGUGCCCAAUCUGUCAGCAGCAGAGACCAACACUCAGCCCUUAAUAUGGCACCAUUCUUUGGGGUGAUCAGCUAGCUACCUGGUGGCAGAUUGAUUACUUUGGACCAUUGCCAUCAUGGAAGGGGCAAGGUUUUGUUCUUACUAGAAUAGACACUUACUCUGGAUGUGGAUUUGCCUUCUGUGCCCAAAAUGCUUCUGCCAAAACUACCAUUUGUGGACUUAGAGAAUGCCUUAUCCACCACCAUGGCAUUGCACAUAGCAUUAUUUGUGAUCAACGAAAUUACUUCAUGCAAAUAAAGUGUAGCAAUGGGCCCGUGCUCAUGAAAUUUGCGUUCCUCACCAUCCUAAAUCAGCUGGUUUGACAGAAUAGUGGAAUGGCCUUUUGAAGACUGUUACAGUGCCCACUAAGAAGGAAAACUAUACAAGGUGGGGAAAGGUUCCCUAAAAGGCUGUAUACACUUGGGAAUCAGUGUCUAAUAUAUGGUGCCAUUUCUCCCAUAGCCAGGAUCCAUAGAUCUAGAAAUCAGGGGGUGGAAUUGGUAGUGGCACCACUCAUUAUCCCUAGUGACCUACUAGCAAAAUGUUUGCUUCCUGUUCUUGUGACCUUAUGCUUUCCUAUCCUAGAGGUCUUAGUUCCAAAGAGAGAUGCUUCCACCAGGAGACACAACAGUGAUUUCAUUGAACUGGAAAUUAAGACUGCUGCCUGGCUGCUUUGGCCUCCUCAUGCUUCCAAAGCAACAGACAAAGAAGGGAGUCCACAUUUCUGGCUGGGGUGUUUGAUCCGGACUACCAAGGGGAAAUUGAACUACUACUCUACGAUAGAGCAGAAUCAGAGAGCUGGUACCAUUUCAGUAGGUCCUUGGGCUGCCUGAAAAUUAUGACGCUGGAGCAUCAUUUACUCAAAAUGCUCAUCCAAAAACAGGACAUCAAAACUAGUCACUCUUCGCCUUAUGGAAACGAAUACCCCAAGGUAAUAUGGUAUUAUUAUUAUUAUUUCUGAUUGGCAUAUAGCUCUGGUGAGGGUGGAUUUUUACACUCAUGCUAUAUCCUUCCUGUCAUUCUUUUCCCCUCUGUAGAUUUCCUCUGGACACUUUCCACACAUUCUCAUCUGGCCCCUGCUCUUGAGCAAGUUGAAUUAGGAGGUGGUACCUGGCAGUUCCUCCUCUAAUUAUCCAGGGAAGACAGAAAAAGAGGAAAACAGGAGUUGAGAGGUAAAGCUUAGAACAGAGAGAUAACCAUUAGCUAGAAAGGCCGAAUAGUAGGAGAAAAGAUAGCACAGGAGGCAAGGAGAGCAUGGUGAGCCAUGGAAGGGGUGAGGGAAAGAGACUGAAGACUCAACUCCACCA
This is a long non-coding RNA of Callithrix jacchus (white-tufted-ear marmoset), 1861 nucleotides long. The record is from Ensembl. NCBI's taxonomy places the organism in Eukaryota, Metazoa, Chordata, Mammalia, Primates, Cebidae.